UAGGGAAUCUUCGGCAAUGGACGAAAGUCUGACCGAGCAACGCCGCGUGAGUGAAGAAGGUUUUCGGAUCGUAAAACUCUGUUGUUAGAGAAGAACGUUGCAUAGAGUGGAAAAUUAUGCAAGUGACGGUAUCUAACCAGAAAGGGACGGCUAACUACGUGCCAGCAGCCGCGGUAAUACGUAGGUCCCGAGCGUUGUCCGGAUUUAUUGGGCGUAAAGCGAGCGCAGGUGGUUUAAUAAGUCUGAUGUAAAAGGCAGUGGCUCAACCAUUGUGUGCAUUGGAAACUGUUAGACUUGAGUGCAGUAGAGGAGAGUGGAAUUCCAUGUGUAGCGGUGAAAUGCGUAGAUAUAUGGAGGAACACCGGUGGCGAAAGCGGCUCUCUGGACUGUCACUGACACUGAGGCUCGAAAGCGUGGGUAGCAAACAGGAUUAGAUACCCUGGUAGUCCACGCC
This 454-nucleotide ribosomal RNA is filed under the name uncultured bacterium. Its description in RNAcentral is "partial 16S ribosomal RNA". It matches the Rfam family "Bacterial small subunit ribosomal RNA", at positions 355 to 801 of the family's 1533-position model. The record is from RNAcentral.